Molecule: ribosomal RNA, 492 nt
Filed under: uncultured bacterium
Lineage: Bacteria
Description: partial 16S ribosomal RNA
Rfam family: Bacterial small subunit ribosomal RNA
Source: RNAcentral
AGUGAACGCUGGCGGCAUGCCUAACACAUGCAAGUCGAACGGCAGCACAGUAAGAGCUUGCUCCUACGGGUGGCGAGUGGCGGACGGGUCACUAAUACAUCGCAUACUUCUCUUUCGUGGGUGAUAACGUCGGGAAACUUCUCCUAACACCUCAUAUAUCCUACUUGUUUAAGCACGGGUUCUUCGCGCCUUUUGUGACUGUAUUAGCCGAAGUCGAAUUAGCUAGUUGGCUGGUGAAAGGCCCACCAAGGCGACGAUCCGUAGCAGAUCUGAGAGGAUGAUCGGCCACACUGGAACUGAGACACGGUCCAGACUCCUACGGGAGGCAGCAGUAGGGAAUAUUGGACAAUGGGCGAAAGCCUGAUGCAGCAAUACCGCGUGAGUGAAGAAGGCCUUCGGAUUGUAAAGCCCUUUUGUUGGGAAAGAAAAAAAGCAGGUUAAAACACGGCUGUAAUGACGGUACCGAAAGAAUAAGCACCGGCUAACUUCGUG